This 93-nucleotide long non-coding RNA is filed under the name dengue virus type 2. RNAcentral describes it as "Dengue virus type 2 partial sfRNA4". The stretch from base 6 to 77 matches the Rfam family "Flavivirus DB element". Rfam says of the family: These DB elements are thought to be required for efficient translation. The record is from RNAcentral. Lineage: Riboviria; Orthornavirae; Kitrinoviricota; Flasuviricetes; Amarillovirales; Flaviviridae.
ACAAUGGGGGCCCAAGGUGAGAUGAAGCUGUAAUCUCACUGGAAGGACUAGAGGUUAGAGGAGACCCCCCCGAAAUAAAAAACAGCAUAUUGA